Molecule: ribosomal RNA, 495 nt
Filed under: uncultured bacterium
Lineage: Bacteria
Description: partial 16S ribosomal RNA
Rfam family: Bacterial small subunit ribosomal RNA
Source: RNAcentral
GAUGAACGCUGGCGGCGUGCCUAAUACAUGCAAGUAGAACGCUGAAGGAGGAGCUUGCUCUUCUGGAUGAGUUGCGAACGGGUGAGUAACGCGUAGGUAACCUGCCUGGUAGCGGGGGAUAACUAUUGGAAACGAUAGCUAAUACCGCAUGACAACAGUUAUUGCAUGAUAACUGUUUAAAAGGGGCAACUGCUCCACUACCAGAUGGACCUGCGUUGUAUUAGCUAGUUGGUGAGGUAACGGCUCACCAAGGCGACGAUACAUAGCCGACCUGAGAGGGGGGUCGGCCACACUGGGACUGAGACACGGCCCAGACGCCUACGGGAGGCAGCAGUAGGGAAUCUUCGGCAAUGGACGGAAGUCUGACCGAGCAACGCCGCGUGAGUGAAGAAGGUUUUCGGAUCGUAAAGCUCUGUUGUAAGAGAAGAACGAGUGUGAGAGUGGAAAGUUCACACUGUGACGGUAUCUUACCAGAAAGGGACGGCUAACUACGUG